GGGGGGGGGGGGCAAAUACCUUGAAAUUUGUGGACCUGGUCAUUUUCCCAAAGAUACAGGUCUGUAACACACAUGCUCUGCAGUAAUGUCUGUUUAUUAAUUCUCACUAGUGUCCAAAAACACCUGGAAAGCGGUAGGACAAUGUCAUGGGAAAUCCAUAUGCUCGUGUUAUUGGAUAUUUGUCUUGACCGGGUACCAUUUGAAAAGGAAACUGAAAAGCAACCCUCUUUUAUGUUUUAGAUGGGCUGCAAAAUACAGCACAAAAGGAAUACACAAAAUUCCCUCAGUAAAGUACUUCUUUUCAGCUAUUUGGUUUAAUCACACAUAACAGGCGCUCUUAGUUGCUGCUUUGCUGGGGCCAAGUGAAACAGAUAACCCAGUCCUUGGCGUGGACUCCGCUCUUCUGUCCCCCAUUACUGCCAUUGAUAAAUACCACUGGGGAGUGCCUACUGCAGAAUCCCAGCCACUUUGUCAUUUGCAACCUGGCCAGCCAUUUUUUCAGUGACUAUCCAAUUACUGGAAGUAAGUUAUUCUAUUCAGAGGUGAACACCAGUCACGCUUAAGUGUUCCCACCAACCGGUGUGCAGCGCCCCACACUUGGAGCCACCGCACAGGACAAAUACUGCUUUUCCUGAGCUCCCCUGGAGCUUCAUUCAUUGAGGCAACCCAAGAUCCCUUGCUAAAAGCAAAACUAAAGCAUUCCACGCCGUUUUCAUUCAGGUGGCCUCCAUUUGACUCCCGACAGCCUGAACUCGUCACGUAGGUAAGAAAACUUUUUAAAGACCAUUUGGACUUUGCUUUGUUUCAGUGAAAUGGGUCGUGAGAAAAAGUGCCUUCCAACGACCAACUCCCUAAAUCCAACACCCUUCUCUUUACAGCGUCUUCACAUCCAACCUUUACAACCAAGACUCUAUACCUCAAACUACAGUGCCUUGGAAAAUUACUGCCACAUCGGCAGAAAACCGAGUUACCUUUCGAGUCAGGUUUGAUUCUGAUGCAGGCAGCCAUGUGCGGCAGGGCUUUCGCACGGUUGCAAGCGCACACCUGGCCGGAUGCUGGCUGCACCACACACUGCCAAGUACAAACUCCCCGAAAAACAGGUGGAUUCGGAAACCAACAGCGCCCGGGUCAGAACUCUGGGCCAGUCCAAAACCUGACAACAUCUGCGUUCCUUGCAGGUAUUUUCGAACGUAAGCCCGACGCUAGGCAGUGCUGUUAGAAAGUGAUUUGGAAGAGCGCUUCCGAGCCACGGCGCGCCCUCCGGGGGAGCGCACCGGAGCAGGUGCGGGCGAGCCCCGCGCCCGGGGAGGUCAGGAAUUCCCCAGCCACACCAGAUCCAACCGGACGCCCCAGAACGGGGACGGUCCCCGGAGUCCGCCUCCCAACCUGGAAGCACCUUGAGGAAGAAAUUGUCUUGUCUACAGCUCUAUCCUCAGUACAGCACCAAGCUUACAGUGGAUGCUCAGUGAAGAUUUGCCGAUUUGCCGAAUGAAUGCUUUCACCCCUGCAACUGUUUACUGCCUGCUAGGAGCUCAGAGCCUCUGGGAUACAGGCUGGGAAUGACAGUGCCUGCUCGCUUGGAAGGCCUCUCUUCUGGAGUCAAUAAAACAGCACUUCUUUGCUUCUUC
RNAcentral lists this long non-coding RNA (1628 nucleotides) under Homo sapiens (human). Its description in RNAcentral is "HSALNT0384399". The record is from RNAcentral. Lineage: Eukaryota; Metazoa; Chordata; Mammalia; Primates; Hominidae.